Molecule: long non-coding RNA, 523 nt
Organism: Ctenocephalides felis (cat flea)
Lineage: Eukaryota; Metazoa; Arthropoda; Insecta; Siphonaptera; Pulicidae
Exons: 3
Source: RefSeq, a predicted model, not a curated record
CGAAAAUGCUCUUGUAAUCGCUUCGAAGUAUCAGGCGAACAGAAACGUCAGAAUCUAUAUAUGAAAGUGUAAUGUUACUCGUGCACAAUGUAUGGUGUCUAUAACGAAUUCAAAUAACCUCAAUGUGCUUAUAACUUGUAAGGAAACAAGAAAAAAAAAUUAAAUGAAAUAUAUUAUUGAUGAAUUAUGUAAAGGCAGUUGUAUUUAACUGUCUUGUCAGAAAUGUACAUUAAACAGAAAAACAGAGAUGAUGAAUAGAAGAUCGAAAUCCAGAGCGAUAUGUCUAUCCAGAUUUUUCAUGUCUGCAAUGAAUCAUGCUGUGCAUUUUCUGAGCUUAGAACUUAUGAUGGAUUGCCUCCAACGCAGACUAUAGGAGUACCUUUAACUGGAACUAACCUACAAAGUACAAUUAAGGAAGAUGAAAUAUCUGAGCAUGAACAUUAUAAUGAAAUAAAAUAAGUUUUAAAUACAUUUUAAUUAUAUUUUGAUAAAUAUACUUUAAGGCAAAUUAAAGUUGUCUGUG